GGCUGGUCCAGGUGCAGUGGUGUUUACAGCUAAUUGAUCACAGCCAGUUACAGAUUUCUUUGUUCCUUCUCCAUUCCCAUUGCUUCACUUGACUAGCCUAAA
Unclassified non-coding RNA from Colobus angolensis palliatus, 102 nucleotides. It matches the Rfam family "Y RNA". Rfam says of the family: Y RNAs are components of the Ro ribonucleoprotein particle (Ro RNP), in association with Ro60 and La proteins. NCBI's taxonomy places the organism in Eukaryota, Metazoa, Chordata, Mammalia, Primates, Cercopithecidae. The record is from Ensembl.